Molecule: ribosomal RNA, 648 nt
Filed under: Triticum aestivum (bread wheat)
Lineage: Eukaryota; Viridiplantae; Streptophyta; Magnoliopsida; Poales; Poaceae
Description: partial small subunit ribosomal RNA
Source: RNAcentral
AUGUCGGCGCGCGGCCAUGGCCAUUCCAUCAGCGGGCAGGCGCAGGUGCCCGGCGGCGUGGUCGUGGACAUGAGCCGCGGGGGCAAGGCGCCGUCGCGCGCAUUGCCGGUGUACUCGCCGGAGCUGGGCGGGCACUACGUGGACGUGUGGGGCGGCGAGCUGUGGAUUGACGUGCUCAACUGGACGCUCUCGCACGGCGGGCUGGCGCCGCGGUCGUGGACGGACUACCUCUACCUGUCCGUGGGCGGCACCCUCUCCAACGCCGGCAUAAGCGGCCAGGCGUUCCACCACGGGCCCCAGAUCAGUAAUGUCUACGAGCUCGACGUCGUAACCGGUACGUACUACACACAUACAUACAUACAUGAGCCGAUCUAUCAGCCACCCCUUCCGACCUCGGCCGGCAUGCACACGCGCCGGCGUUCUCAUCUCAGGCGUGGCGGUGACCUGCUCGGAGGCGAAGAACCCGUAGCUCUUCUUCGGUGCGCUGGGCGGGCUGUGGCAGUUGGGAUCAUCAUGCACGCUCGCAUCGCCCUCGAGCCUGCUCCCCACAAGGUAGCACCACCACCCAUGCCGGCGCCCUAUGCGCCGUCCUCACCUCCCCAUACGCACGCAUCAAUCCGUUCAUUCGUUAACCCACCUAGUCUGUAA